GGGGGGGGCGGGGGGCGGGGCGAGCAGGGGCGGGGCGCGCGGGGGGGGGGGGCGUGCGCCUGGGGUCAGCGGCGGACGGGUGAGUAAUGCCUAGGAAUCUGCCUGGUAGUGGGGGAUAACGUCCGGAAACGGGCGCUAAUACCGCAUACGUCCUGAGGGAGACAGUGGGGGACCGUCGGACCUCACGCUAUCAGAUGAGCCUAGGUCGGAUUAGCUAGUCGGGGGGGUAAAGGCCUACCAAGGCGACGAUCCGCAACUGGUCUGAGAGGAUGAUCAGUCACACUGGAACUGAGACACGGUCCAGACUCCUACGGGAGGCAGCAGUGGGGAAUAUUGGACAAUGGGCGAAAGCCUGAUCCAGCCAUGCCGCGUGUGUGAAGAAGGUCUUCGGAUUGUAAAGCACUUUAAGUUGGGAGGAAGGGCAGUAAGUUAAUACCUUGCUGUUUUGACGUUACCAACAGAAUAAGCACCGGCUAACUUCGUG
Molecule: ribosomal RNA, 484 nt
Filed under: uncultured bacterium
Lineage: Bacteria
Description: partial 16S ribosomal RNA
Rfam family: Bacterial small subunit ribosomal RNA
Source: RNAcentral